Molecule: long non-coding RNA, 674 nt
Filed under: Nicotiana benthamiana
Lineage: Eukaryota; Viridiplantae; Streptophyta; Magnoliopsida; Solanales; Solanaceae
Description: long non-coding RNA (NBEN_LNC037533)
Source: RNAcentral
GUCUAUUGAAUAGUUACUGGUGUCGGUAACCUUCAUCCUAUUGUUCACGGAAUGUGCUUUCUGCUACUGGAGAAUUAUCGGGCUGAUCACUGUUUUAUGUUUGGCUAUUGUCUUGAUCAAACGUUGAAUGUUAUUUUUCUUUCAUCUACCACUUUAUUUCUGUACUGUUAUGUUACCUUAUGCUUGAUCUUGUCCUUAUGAAAUGCGGCACAGGAUUCCCAUGUUCAAUAUGCAAGUGAUGUCAGGAUAGGAGCUGAAAUACGUGGAGAAGUUUGUCGACAUGAUUAUCGACUUAAUGAAGAAAUUGGAAUUAUUUGCUUUCAGACUUAUCACAUACUGCUACCACAUUCUCUAAAGGGAUGAUUAUCGACUUAAUGAAGAAAUUGGAAUUAUUUGCCGGUUAUGUGGAUUUGUUAGCACCGAAAUAAAGGAUGUUCCACCACCCUUUGUAAGUCAAGUCUCGAACUUCUUUCAUUGCUCUUAUUCUGAAGGACCUGCUUAAAGAUGUCUUUGAGAUUUGCCCUCCACGAAGUGGUGGCACUUCAAAAAUGUUUUUGACCAAGAGAUGAAGCUUUGUCUUGGUCCAUCUCAUCAUUUUAUCGUACACGUAAUGGGAAGUAUAUUCGGCAUGUAAUUCAGGAAGCAUGUUGAAGCAGAUCUAGACUAUCAUUCUU